UUGUUAUUUUAUAUGUACAUAAUAUGCAUCUUCACGAACUCACCUUGCAUUCUCUUAUGUUUAGUUUGAAUGUUCGCAACCUUAAAAGGGCUUGUACUUCUAUUGUGAGAUCGAAAAUAACAGCUCUCAUCGAGAUAUUUUUUUCUUGAGUUAUCUGUACAGGAAUUCAAUGGAACAAAUUAAAUAUAAAUCAAAAUGAAAUAAUAUAUAUAUAGAAAAACAGAACUAGCUUUGAAAUUGGUCUAAUUAAAAAUAAAAAUAACGCCCGGCGUUCUACAACGCACAUUUACUACUAAGUUCCUACCCUCCCCAUCUCUUCCCGUCUUGUUUCCAUCGCCCGAAAACCAUGUGUGCUGCGAACCGCUAUAGAUUUCGGG
This 377-nucleotide long non-coding RNA is filed under the name Cucumis sativus (cucumber). RNAcentral describes it as "long non-coding RNA (CSAT_LNC002112)". Lineage: Eukaryota; Viridiplantae; Streptophyta; Magnoliopsida; Cucurbitales; Cucurbitaceae. The record is from RNAcentral.